CCAACGUGGGCAUCCAUUUGAGGUUGCUCUCUUAUGGCUCUGUCCGUGUGGCAUAUAGGAGCAUCGCACUAAGUGCAGUGAUGUGUAUUCCUGUUCCACAACGUUGGAGAGCAAGUUUGGUCUCCAGCCUUGGUUAGUGAGGGUAGCAUCCUGUAUAUUCCUAUAACUCUUCAGAGUCCUUGGGCAGUUACUGAGGAGGCAAACCAUGCAGGAUACAAGA
Molecule: small nucleolar RNA, 220 nt
Organism: Protopterus annectens (West African lungfish)
Lineage: Eukaryota; Metazoa; Chordata; Ceratodontiformes; Protopteridae
Product: small nucleolar RNA SNORA73 family
Exons: 1
Source: RefSeq, a predicted model, not a curated record